AUGACAUAUGUUUGUUGCCUAAAUGCCAGUGAGUCUUCCUAUUUCCUGGUUGCAUGGAUGGCAUGUAUAUGUAUGCUCUUUGAAAUGGCCAUAAAGAUGUUGUUUACUGUAGAUCACAGCAAAUCAUAUGCACCUGUACACAAUAAAUACUUCAAAUUAAAUGGAGCCAUGCUAAUAACCAGCCAAAACGCCAGAUUACUAUAUGAGAGAAGGCUUUAUGAUGACGUGGCAUUGCUAUAUAGCCAGCAGCCGGCUGUGCUAUUAUCUUUGCUCGAUCACAAUUCACAAGCACACCGGCGGACGCUUCGAGUCGAAGGCUUGCAACCUCCUGCUCCUCCUCGCCCUCAAAGCCCCCCUUCCUCGCCACCGCCGCUUGCUUGCUCCGGCUGCUCGACCUCCUGA
This 402-nucleotide ribosomal RNA is filed under the name Triticum aestivum (bread wheat). RNAcentral's name for it is "partial small subunit ribosomal RNA". The record is from RNAcentral. Lineage: Eukaryota; Viridiplantae; Streptophyta; Magnoliopsida; Poales; Poaceae.